This 2531-nucleotide ribosomal RNA is filed under the name Paenalicyclobacillus herbarius. RNAcentral's name for it is "bacterial LSU rRNA". It matches the Rfam family "Bacterial large subunit ribosomal RNA", at positions 121 to 2627 of the family's 2925-position model. The record is from RNAcentral. Lineage: Bacteria; Bacillati; Bacillota; Bacilli; Caryophanales; Alicyclobacillaceae.
GGGGAACCCACCAGUGGUCAUGCCUGUAUGGUGAGCCCGCCAGCGAACCAUAGCCUGGGGCACGAGGACUGAACAUUCCAGUACUGAGGGAGAACAAGAUGAUUCCGUGAGUAGGGCGGAGCGAAGCGGAGGAGCCGAACGCUGUGUGGAGUCCGUGCAGGGUGCAGCAGCGGAGUAGAGGGGCCCUGAGCCAUGACUGCACGCCUUGGGCAAAGUGAGAAACCGGAAUGUCAGCCGAAGGGUCUGGGAAGGCCGACCGGAGAAGGUGAGAAGUCCUGUAGGCCGAGGCAAUGCGGCUUUGCAAGAGGGUACCCAAGGACCCGGGACACGAGGAACCCCGUGGGAAUCGGGGGAGGGACCCCCUCCUAAGGCUAAAUACUUCCCUGGCGACCCGAUAGCCGAGAGUUCCCGUGAGGGAAAGGUGAAAAGGACCGCCGGAGCCGAGUGAAAGAAACCUGAAACCGUGUGCCUACAAUCAGUUGGAGUCCCCCGGAAGGGGGAUGACGGCGUGCCUUUUGUAGAAUGAACCGGCGAGUGAUGUUCGCUAGCGAGGUUAAGGCGAGGAAGCCGGAGCCGAAGCGAAAGCGAGUCUGAGAAGGGCGGAAAGUUGGCGGACAUCGACCCGAAACCGGGUGAUCUACCCCUGGUCAGGGUGAAGUGCGGGUAACACCGCAUGGAGGCCCGAACCCACCGGCGUUGAAAAGCCGGGGGAUGAACUGGGGGUAGGGGAGAAAUUCCAAUCGAACUCGGAGAUAGCUGGUUCUCCCCGAAAUCGCUUGAGGGCGAGCGUCAGGCGGUCAGGGACGGAGGUAGAGCACCGAUUGAGUGCGGGGCCUGUCCGAGGUUACCAAGUUCAGUCGAACUCCGAAUGCCGUUUCAUGGAGCCUGGCAGUGAGACUACGAGUGCUAAGAUCCGUGGUCGAGAGGGAAACAGCCCAGACCCACAGCUAAGGUCCCGAAGUGUCCGUUCAGUGGGGAAACGAUGUGGCGGUGCACAGACAACCAGGAUGUUGGCUUAGAAGCAGCCAUCAUUGAAAGAGUGCGUAAUAGCUCACUGGUCGAGUGGCGCUGCGCGGAAAAUGUAACGGGGCUAAACGGACCACCGAAGCUUGGGAUACGGAGGAAGUAUGGUAGGGGAGCGUUCCGUGGGCGGAGAAGCCGUCCUGAGAGGGAUGGUGGAGCGCACGGAAGUGAGAAUGCCGGUAUAAGUAGCGAAAAGAGGGGUGAGAAUCCCCUCCGCCGAAAGCCCAAGGGUUCCUGGGGAAGGAUCGUCCGCCCAGGGUAAGUCGGGACCUAAGGCGAGGCCGAGAGGCGUAGUCGAAGGAGAGCUGGUGGAGAUUCCAGCACCACUCUGUUCUGUUUGAGCUAGUGGGGUGACGCAGGAGGUCCAGGGAAGCGGCCGGAUGGAAGAGGCCGUCCAAGCAGUGAGCGGGGCGUGUAGGCAAAUCCGCACGCUGGGAACCGUGAGCUGUGAAGGGGAGGGAAGGACAGUACCGAAGUCCCGAGGGUCACACUGCCAAGAAAAGCCUCUCGCGAGGGACAGAGUGCCCGUACCGGAAACCGACACAGGUGGGCGAGGAGAGGAUCCUAAGGCGCGCGGGAGAACUCUCGUUAAGGAACUCGGCAAAAUGGCCCCGUAACUUCGGGAGAAGGGGCGCUCAUGGAGAGACAUGAGCCGCAGUGAAAAGGCCCAAGCGACUGUUUAGCAAAAACACAAGUCUCUGCGAAGCCGAAAAGCGAGGUAUUAGGGGCUGACGCCUGCCCGGUUGCUGAAGGUUAAGAGGAGGGCUUCUCCUUAGAGGAGAAGGUCCGAAUUGAAGCCCCAGUAAACGGCGGCCGUAACUAUAACGGUCCUAAGGUAGCGAAAUUCCUUGUCAGGUAAGUUCUGACCCGCACGAAAGGCGUAACGACUUGGGCGCUGUCUCAACGAGAGACCCGGUGAAAUUGUAGUACCUGUGAAGAUGCAGGUUACCCGCGGCUAGACGGAAAGACCCCGUGGAGCUUGACUGCAGCUUGAUAUGGGAGAUGGGCAUGUCAUGUACAGGAUAGGUGGGAGGCGUAGAGACAUGGGCGCCAGCCUGUGAGGAGCCGACGUUGGGAUACCACCCUUGAGAUGCCGGUCUUCUAACCUGGUACCCGAAAGCGGGUAUGGGGACAGUGUCAGGUGGGCAGUUUGACUGGGGCGGUCGCCUCCUAAAAGGUAACGGAGGCGCCCAAAGGUUCCCUCAGCGCGGAUGGAAAUCGCGCGGUGCGUGUAAAGGCAAAAGGGAGCUUGACUGCGAGACGGACGUGUCGAGCAGGGACGAAAGUCGGGCUUAGUGACCCGGCGGCACCGAGUGGAAGGGCCGUCGCUCAACGGAUAAAAGCUACCCCGGGGAUAACAGGCUGAUCUCCCCCAAGAGUCCACAUCGACGGGGAGGUUUGGCACCUCGAUGUCGGCUCAUCGCAUCCUGGGGCUGAAGUGGGUCCCAAGGGUUGGGCUGUUCGCCCAUUAAAGCGGUACGCGAGCUGGGUUCAGAACGUCGUGAGAC